Molecule: ribosomal RNA, 274 nt
Filed under: uncultured bacterium
Lineage: Bacteria
Description: partial 16S ribosomal RNA
Rfam family: Bacterial small subunit ribosomal RNA
Source: RNAcentral
AUACGGGGGGGACAAACGUUGUUCGGAUUAACUGGGCGUAAAGGGCGUGUAGGCGGACCGAUAAGUCGGGUGUGAAAUCUUGGGGCUCAACCCCAAGCUUGCAUUCGAAACUAUUGGUCUUGAGUAUGUGAGAGGAAAGUGGAAUUCCAGGUGUAGCGGUGGAAUGCGUAGAUAUCUGGAGGAACACCAGUAGCGAAGGCGACUUUCUGGCACAAUACUGACGCUGAGGCGCGAAGGCUAGGGUAGCAAACAGGAUUAGAAACCCCGGUAGUCC